GCGGGUAUCGUAUAAUGGCGAUUACCUCAGCCUUCCAAGCUGAUGAUGCGGGUUCGAUUCCCGCUACCCGCUCCA
Molecule: transfer RNA, 75 nt
Filed under: Escherichia coli
Lineage: Bacteria; Pseudomonadati; Pseudomonadota; Gammaproteobacteria; Enterobacterales; Enterobacteriaceae
Description: tRNA-Gly
Rfam family: tRNA
About the family: Transfer RNA (tRNA) molecules are approximately 80 nucleotides in length. Their secondary structure includes four short double-helical elements and three loops (D, anti-codon, and T loops).
Source: RNAcentral